GUCCACGCCCUAAACGAUGUCAACUAGGUGUUGGGAGGGUAAACCUUUAGUACCGGAGCUAACGCGUGAAGUUGACCGCCUGGGGAGUACGGCCGCAAGGUUAAACUCAAAGGAAUUGACGGGGACCCGGCACAAGCGGUGGAUGAUGUGGAUUAAUUCGAUGCAACGCGAAAAACCUUACCUACCCUUGACAUGUCCGGAAGCCCUUAGAGAUUUGGGUGUGCUCGAAAGAGAGCCGGAACACAGGUGCUGCAUGGCUGUCGU
Molecule: ribosomal RNA, 264 nt
Filed under: uncultured bacterium
Lineage: Bacteria
Description: partial 16S ribosomal RNA
Rfam family: Bacterial small subunit ribosomal RNA
Source: RNAcentral